AGAGUGAACGCUGGCGGUAGGCCUAACACAUGCAAGUCGAACGGCAGCACAGUGGUAGCAAUACCAUGGGUGGCGAGUGGCGGACGGGUGAGGAAUACAUCGGAAUCUACCUUUUCGUGGGGGAUAACGUAGGGAAACUUACGCUAAUACCGCAUAAGACCUUCGGGUGAAAGCCGGGGACCUUCGGGCCUGGCGCGGAUAGAUGAGCCGAUGUCGGAUUAGCUUGUUGGCGGGGUAAAAGCCCACCAAGGCGACGAUCCGAAGCUGGUCUGAGAGGAUGAUCAGCCACACUGGAACUGAGACACGGUCCAGACUCCUACGGGAGCAGCAGUGGGGAAUAUUGGACAAUGGGCGC
Molecule: ribosomal RNA, 355 nt
Filed under: uncultured soil bacterium
Lineage: Bacteria
Description: bacterial SSU rRNA
Rfam family: Bacterial small subunit ribosomal RNA
Source: RNAcentral